AAACCAACAGGGAUUGCCUUAGUAGCGGCGAGUGAAGCGGCAAAAGCUCAGAUUUGAAAGCCUUUUUUGGCAUUGUAUUCUGAAGCCUUUAUCCUGAGAAACCGGUGCCCAAGUCUCCUGGAAAGGAGCGCCAUGGAGGGUGACAGCCCCGUACGGCACCGAUCUCAUUGUAGGAUUUGGGCGUGGAGUCGAGUUGUUUGGGAAUGCAGCUCAAACGGGUGGUAUGCUCCAUCUAAAGCUAAAUAUCUGCGAAAGACCGAUAGCGAACAAGUACUGUGAAGGAAAGAUGAAAAGAACUUUGAAAAGAGAGUGAAAUAGUACGUGAAAUUGUUGAAAUGGAAGGGUAGGCCGCUAACCACGCAGGGUCGUGUUCGAGGGGAGGAUAAAAGCCGGGAAAUGUGGCUCUUCGGAGUGUUAUAGUCCCGGUCAAUACUCCCAUUUGGGCGCGAGGAUCUCAGACCCUGCUAAAUGGUGGUCUACCAC
This 483-nucleotide ribosomal RNA is filed under the name Starmerella asiatica. RNAcentral's name for it is "partial 26S ribosomal RNA". It matches the Rfam family "Eukaryotic large subunit ribosomal RNA", at positions 62 to 648 of the family's 3401-position model. The record is from RNAcentral. Lineage: Eukaryota; Fungi; Ascomycota; Dipodascomycetes; Dipodascales; Trichomonascaceae.